Herpailurus yagouaroundi (jaguarundi) is the source of this 447-nucleotide long non-coding RNA. RefSeq lists it as uncharacterized. The record is from RefSeq and is a predicted model, not a curated record. The transcript has 3 exons. Lineage: Eukaryota; Metazoa; Chordata; Mammalia; Carnivora; Felidae.
AUUAAUCAUUUUCUUUCCCUUCCAUAUAAGUCCAGGAACUGACACCUGGACCUCAUGUUCCACCUUCCACUCAGGAAGUAAAGCCAGGACUAAGUUCCCUGCUGCUACAGACGGGGCAGUGCAAGAUCAGAUAAAACUAAUCAGUAACUAACCAUGGCUGUGAAGAGAAAGAGAAAAUAAUUUCCAGGUAAAAUCCAGAUACAGGUGACAACCUUAGUAAAAAAUUAUUUCGAACUAACCUCUUCUAAGGAAUUUGGGACCAAAUAACAGCUCUGACUAGAGAAUAAAAUGAUCUGGAAGGAGACACAGCAAGUUCAAGAAAAUACCUACCUUGAGAAACAAGCCGAAAAAAAAUCACUGGGAACCACCAGGGGCUGUUUGGUUGGGUGCAUACCUACCUGAGCCUUGAGAAUACAUCUGGUCCUUAGCAAACCUCAUCUGGACAGA